Molecule: non-coding RNA, 537 nt
Organism: Artibeus jamaicensis (Jamaican fruit-eating bat)
Lineage: Eukaryota; Metazoa; Chordata; Mammalia; Chiroptera; Phyllostomidae
Source: the annotation of a RefSeq genome assembly
AGGAGAGUAAGAGUUUCAGCCUUCAUUGACACAGGACAGAGGGUCUGUGCCCUGCAUCCCCCAACACUCAGAGGUGAAAACACCUCCACCCUGCCUCUUCCUGCCAUGGGCUCCCUGCUCCUCUUCUGUGUGGCCUUUUGUCUCCUGGGAACAGGGUCUAUGGAUGCUGAUGUUACCCAGUCCCCAAGGAAUAAGAUCACCAAGACAGGAAACAGUAUUAUUCUGCAAUGUUCUCAGAAUAUGGAUCAUUACUACAUGUUCUGGUACCGACAAGACCCAGGACUGGGUCUACAGCUGAUCUACUACUCUGUCGAUGUGAACGACAUUAACAAAGGGGACAUCCCUGAUGGGUACAGUGUCUCCAGAACUGAGAAAGCCAACUUCUCCCUCUCUGUGAAGACUGCCAGCCCCAAACAGACAGCUGUUUACUUCUGUGCCAGCAGUUACUCACACAGCAGUUCUUGGCCACCUGCUCUCUACACAGAAAGACAGGCACAUGGGCGAGUCACUUGCUCAGAAGAUGCAUCAGCCACAUGA